This 774-nucleotide ribosomal RNA is filed under the name uncultured Neocallimastigales. RNAcentral describes it as "partial large subunit ribosomal RNA". It matches the Rfam family "Eukaryotic large subunit ribosomal RNA", at positions 26 to 644 of the family's 3401-position model. Lineage: Eukaryota; Fungi; Neocallimastigomycota; Neocallimastigomycetes; Neocallimastigales. The record is from RNAcentral.
CGCAUCUGUGCAUGCAGCAUAUCAAUAAGCGGAGGAAAAGAAACUAACAAGGAUUCCCCUAGUAACGGCGAGUGAAGCGGGAAGAGCUCAAAUUUGAAAUCUUAAAGGGUUUCCCUUUACGAAUUGUAGUUUAAAGAAGUGUUUUCUGUUGAGGUUUUGGUAAAAGUUCUUUGGAAUAGGACAUCAUAGAGGGUGAGAAUCCCGUAUUUGACCUUUACUUUCAACUUUGUGAUACACUUUCAAAGAGUCGGAUUGUUUGGGAAUGCAGUCCAAAAUGGGUGGUAAAUUUCAUCUAAAGCUAAAUAUUGGCGAGAGACCGAUAGCGAACAAGUACCGUGAGGGAAAGAUGAAAAGAACUUUGAAAAGAGAGUUAAACAGUACGUGAAAUUGUCAAAAGGGAAGCGUUUGACACCAGUGUUGUUUUUCUGAAAAUCAAUUAAAGAACUGUUUAUGCUAAGUUGUUUAGACUUUAUCAGCUAACUGUUUAGUUUUGAGCUUUUCUUUAAUGCACUUUUCAGUUAACAAGUCAACAUCAAUUUCUUUUGCUGUAAAAAAGCUUGAGGAAGGUGGCUUGAGAUUCGUCUUAAGUGUUUAUAGCCUCUUGCCUAUGCAGUCGGAGAGAUUGAGGUCUGCAGCGUAGAUCCUUCGGGGCUAAGUGCAUUUGUGCUAAGUUAUAGCAUUUUAUAGACAACUUGUUGACUAUGAUUUGUCUUGUAGCUUACUCGCUUAUGUUAUUUUACCUACGCUUAGGAUGUUGAAUCUGUGCGAGACUAC